Molecule: ribosomal RNA, 242 nt
Filed under: uncultured bacterium
Lineage: Bacteria
Description: partial 16S ribosomal RNA
Rfam family: Bacterial small subunit ribosomal RNA
Source: RNAcentral
GAUCAUGGCUCAGAGUGAACGCUGGCGGUAGGCCUAACACAUGCAAGUCGAACGGCAGCACAGGGGAGCUUGCUCCUUGGGUGGCGAGUGGCGGACGGGUGAGGAAUACAUCGGAGUCUACUCUGUCGUGGGGGAUAACGUAGGGAAACUUACGCUAAUACCGCAUACGACCUACGGGUGAAAGCAGGGGAUCUUCGGACCUUGCGCGAUUGAAUGAGCCGAUGUCGGAUUAGCUAGUUGGG